GCCUUUUGAUAAUUUCUUAUAAAAGGUCGUACCUGCCCAGUGAAAUGUUUAAACGGCCGCUUUUUAGCGUUAAAGUAGCAUAGUAACAGCCUCUUAAUUAGGGGAUAGAAUGAAUGGUUUGUCAUAGAUUAACUGUCUCUAAUAUAGUGAUAAAAAUUUUUAUUUAAGUGAAAAAACUUAAAUUUUUGUAAAAGACGAGAAGACCCUUUCGAGCUUAAUUAAUAUGAUAUGUAACAGAUAAAUAAAGUUAAUCUUUAUUAUUAGUUCAUGUUUCAUUUAAAGUUUUACUGGGGCAGUAUAGGGUAAAUAAAAAUCCCUUAUUUUUAAAAUAAAGACCCCGUUGGAUGGCCAAAAGCAAAAGUUACCGUAGGGAUAACAGCGCAAACCUUUCUUGGAGAUCGUAUUUUAGAAAGAAGUUGUGACCUCGAUGUUGAAUUAGAAGCACUUUAUGGUUGUAACAGCUAUAGAAAGUAAAACUGUUCGUUUUUUAAUUUUCC
This 497-nucleotide ribosomal RNA is filed under the name Petricolaria pholadiformis. RNAcentral describes it as "partial large subunit ribosomal RNA". It matches the Rfam family "Archaeal large subunit ribosomal RNA", at positions 1910 to 2666 of the family's 2987-position model. The record is from RNAcentral. Lineage: Eukaryota; Metazoa; Mollusca; Bivalvia; Venerida; Petricolidae.